This 479-nucleotide ribosomal RNA is filed under the name uncultured bacterium. RNAcentral's name for it is "bacterial SSU rRNA". It matches the Rfam family "Bacterial small subunit ribosomal RNA", at positions 32 to 487 of the family's 1533-position model. The record is from RNAcentral.
AAUCAACGCUGGCGGCGUGCCUAACACAUGCAAGUCGAACGCGAAAGUCCCGCAAGGGAUCAGUAGAGUGGCAAACGGGUGAGUAACACGUGGGUGACCUGCCUUCGAGCGGGGGAUAACGUCCCGAAAGGGACGCUAAUACCGCAUAACAUCCUGCCUUUGAAGAGGUGGAGAUCAAAGCUGGGGAUCGCAAGACCCGGCACUUGAAGAGGGGCCCGCGCCUGAUUAGCAGUUGGUGAGGUAACGGCUCACCAAGGCAACGAUCAGUAUCCGGCCUGAGAGGGCGGACGGACACACUGGGACUGAGACACGGCCCAGACUCCUACGGGAGGCAGCAGUGGGGAAUUGUUCGCAAUGGGCGCAAGCCUGACGACGCAACGCCGCGUGGAGGAUGAAGAUUUUCGGAUCGUAAACUCCUGUCGAAUGGGACGAAAAGAUUGCGGGUGAACAGCCCGUAGUCCUGACGGUACCGUUAAAGG